Molecule: ribosomal RNA, 253 nt
Filed under: uncultured bacterium
Lineage: Bacteria
Description: partial 16S ribosomal RNA
Rfam family: Bacterial small subunit ribosomal RNA
Source: RNAcentral
UACGUAGGAGGCGAGCGUUGUCCGGAAUUACUGGGCGUAAAGGGCUCGUAGGCGGCCAACUAAGUCAGACGUGAAAUCCCUCGGCUUAACCGGGGAACUGCGUCUGAUACUGGAUGGCUUGAGUUUGGGAGAGGGAUGCGGAAUUCCAGGUGUAGCGGUGAAAUGCGUAGAUAUCUGGAGGAAUACCGAUGGCGAAGGCAGGUCUCUGGGCUGACACUGACGCUCAUGCACGAAAGCGUGGGGAGCAAACAGG